UACGUAGGGUGCAGGCGUUAAUCGGAAUUACUGGGCGUAAAGCGUGCGUAGACGGUUACAUAAGUCAGAUGUGAAAGCCCCGGGCUCAACCUGGGAAUUGCAUUUGAGACUGCAUAGCUAGGGUGCGGAAGAGGGAAGCGGAAUUUCCGGUGUAGCGGUGAAAUGCGUAGAUAUCGGAAGGAACACCAGUGGCGAAAGCGGCUUCCUGGUCCAGCACCGACGUUCAGGCACGAAAGCGUGGGGAGCAAACAGG
Molecule: ribosomal RNA, 253 nt
Filed under: uncultured bacterium
Lineage: Bacteria
Description: partial 16S ribosomal RNA
Rfam family: Bacterial small subunit ribosomal RNA
Source: RNAcentral